GACGAACGCUGGCGGCGUGCUUAACACAUGCAAGUCGAACGGAAAGGCCCUUCGGGGUACUCGAGUGGCGAACGGGUGAGUAACACGUGGGUGAUCCGCCCUGCACUUUGGGAUAAGCCUGGGAAACUGGGUCUAAUACCGAAUAGGACCACGCGCUUCAUGGUGUGUGGUGGAAAGCUUUUGCGGUGUGGGAUGGGCCCGCGGCCUAUCAGCUUGUUGGUGGGGUAAUGGCCUACCAAGGCGACGACGGGUAGCCGGCCUGAGAGGGUGACCGGCCACACUGGGACUGAGAUACGGCCCAGACUCCUACGGGAGGCAGCAGUGGGGAAUAUUGCACAAUGGGCGCAAGCCUGAUGCAGCGACGCCGCGUGAGGGAUGACGGCCUUCGGGUUGUAAACCUCUUUCAAUAGGGACGAAGCGCAAGUGACGGUACCUAUAGAAGAAGCACCGGCCAACUACGUGCCAGCAGCCGCGGUAAUACGUAGGGUGCGAGCGUUGUCCGGAAUUACUGGGCGUAAAGAGCUCGUAGGUGGUUUGUCGCGUUGUUCGUGAAAACUCACAGCUUAACUGUGGGCGUGCGGGCGAUACGGGCAGACUAGAGUACUGCAGGGGAGACUGGAAUUCCUGGUGUAGCGGUGGAAUGCGCAGAUAUCAGGAGGAACACCGGUGGCGAAGGCGGGUCUCUGGGCAGUAACUGACGCUGAGGAGCGAAAGCGUGGGGAGCGAACAGGAUUAGAUACCCUGGUAGUCCACGCCGUAAACGGUGGGUACUAGGUGUGGGUUCCUUCCUUGGGAUCCGUGCCGUAGCUAACGCAUUAAGUACCCCGCCUGGGGAGUACGGCCGCAAGGCUAAAACUCAAAGGAAUUGACGGGGGCCCGCACAAGCGGCGGAGCAUGUGGAUUAAUUCGAUGCAACGCGAAGAACCUUACCUGGGUUUGACAUGCACAGGACGCCGGCAGAGAUGUCGGUUCCCUUGUGGCCUGUGUGCAGGUGGUGCAUGGCUGUCGUCAGCUCGUGUCGUGAGAUGUUGGGUUAAGUCCCGCAACGAGCGCAACCCUUGUCCUAUGUUGCCAGCGGGUUAUGCCGGGGACUCGUAGGAGACUGCCGGGGUCAACUCGGAGGAAGGUGGGGAUGACGUCAAGUCAUCAUGCCCCUUAUGUCCAGGGCUUCACACAUGCUACAAUGGCCGGUACAAAGGGCUGCGAUGCCGUGAGGUGGAGCGAAUCCUUUCAAAGCCGGUCUCAGUUCGGAUCGGGGUCUGCAACUCGACCCCGUGAAGUCGGAGUCGCUAGUAAUCGCAGAUCAGCAACGCUGCGGUGAAUACGUUCCCGGGCCU
RNAcentral lists this ribosomal RNA (1337 nucleotides) under uncultured bacterium. RNAcentral describes it as "bacterial SSU rRNA". It matches the Rfam family "Bacterial small subunit ribosomal RNA", at positions 28 to 1381 of the family's 1533-position model. The record is from RNAcentral.